GAUGAACGCUGGCGGCGUGCCUAAUACAUGCAAGUCGAGCGAACAGAUGAGGAGCUUGCUCCUCUGACGUUAGCGGCGGACGGGUGAGUAACACGUGGAUAACCUACCUAUAAGACUGGGAUAACUUCGGGAAACCGGAGCUAAUACCGGAUAAUAUAUUGAACCGCAUGGUUCAAUAGUGAAAGACGGUUUUGCUGUCACUUAUAGAUGGAUCCGCGCCGCAUUAGCUAGUUGGUAAGGUAACGGCUUACCAAGGCAACGAUGCGUAGCCGACCUGAGAGGGUGAUCGGCCACAGUGGAACUGAGACACGGUCCAGACUCCUACGGGAGGCAGAAGUAGGGAAUCUUCCGCAAUGGGCGAAAGCCUGACGGAGAACGCCGCGUGAGUGAUGAAGGUCUUCGGAUCGUAAAACUCUGUUAUUAGGGAAGAACAAAUGUGUAAGUAACUAUGCACGUCUUGACGGUAACUAAUCAGAAAGCCACGGCUAACUACGUG
This 496-nucleotide ribosomal RNA is filed under the name uncultured bacterium. RNAcentral describes it as "partial 16S ribosomal RNA". It matches the Rfam family "Bacterial small subunit ribosomal RNA", at positions 28 to 507 of the family's 1533-position model. The record is from RNAcentral.